CAAAGGAAUUGACGGGGACCCGCACAAGCGGUGGAUGAUGUGGAUUAAUUCGAUGCGACGCGAAGAACCUUACCUACCCUUGACAUGUCCGGAACUUGCCAGAGAUGGCUUGGUGCCCGAAAGGGAAUCGGAACACAGGUGCUGCAUGGCUGUCGUCAGCUCGUGUCGUGAGAUGUUGGGUUAAGUCCCGCAACGAGCGCAACCCUUAUCAUUAGUUGCUACGCAAGGGCACUCUAAUGAGACUGCCGGUGACAAACCGGAGGAAGGUGGGGAUGACGUCAAGUCCUCAUGGCCUUUAUGACCAGGGCUACACACGUACUACAAUGGCCGGUACAAAGGGCAGCGACACAGCGAUGUGAAGCGAAUCCCGAAAAGCCGGUCUCAGUCCGGAUUGGAGUCUGCAACUCGACUCCAUGAAGUUGGAAUCGCUAGUAAUCGCGGAUCAGCACGCCGCGGUGAAUACGUUCCCGGGCCUU
Molecule: ribosomal RNA, 476 nt
Filed under: uncultured Tepidiphilus sp.
Lineage: Bacteria; Pseudomonadati; Pseudomonadota; Hydrogenophilia; Hydrogenophilales; Hydrogenophilaceae
Description: bacterial SSU rRNA
Rfam family: Bacterial small subunit ribosomal RNA
Source: RNAcentral